RNAcentral lists this ribosomal RNA (255 nucleotides) under uncultured bacterium. Its description in RNAcentral is "partial 16S ribosomal RNA". It matches the Rfam family "Bacterial small subunit ribosomal RNA", at positions 99 to 353 of the family's 1533-position model. The record is from RNAcentral.
CGCACGGGUGAGUAACACGUAUCCAACCUGCCGUCUACUCUUGGACAGCCUUCUGAAGGAAGAUUAAUACAAGAUGGCAUCAUGAGUCCGCAUGUUCACAUGAUUAAAGGUAUUCCGGUAGACGAUGGGGAUGCGUUCCAUUAGAUAGUAGGCGGGGUAACGGCCCACCUAGUCUUCGAUGGAUAGGGGUUCUGAGAGGAAGGUCCCCCACAUUGGAACUGAGACACGGUCCAAACUCCUACGGGAGGCAGCAUG